CCUACGGGAGGCAGCAGUGGGGAAUAUUGGGCAAUGGGCGCAAGCCUGACCCAGCAACGCCGCGUGAAGGAAGAAGGCUUUCGGGUUUUAAACUUCUUUUCUGGGGGACGAACAAAUGACGGUACCCCAGGAAUAAGCCACGGCUAACUACGGGCCAGCAGCCGCGGUAAUACGUAGGUGGCAAGCGUUAUCCGGAUUUAUUGGGUGUAAAGGGCGUGUAGGCGGGAAUGCAAGUCAGAUGUGAAAACUAAGGGCUCAACCCUGAGCCUGCAUUUGAAACUGGGUUUCUUGAGUGCUGGGGAGGCAAUCGGAAUUCCGGGUGUAGCGGUGAAAUGCGUAGAUAUACGGAGGAACACCAGUGGCGAAGGCGGAUUGCUGGACAGUAACUGACGCUGAGGCGCGAAAGCGUGGGGAGCAAACAGGAUUAGAUACCCGAGUAGUC
This 442-nucleotide ribosomal RNA is filed under the name uncultured bacterium. RNAcentral's name for it is "partial 16S ribosomal RNA". It matches the Rfam family "Bacterial small subunit ribosomal RNA", at positions 338 to 795 of the family's 1533-position model. The record is from RNAcentral.